RNAcentral lists this ribosomal RNA (846 nucleotides) under uncultured bacterium. RNAcentral's name for it is "bacterial SSU rRNA". It matches the Rfam family "Bacterial small subunit ribosomal RNA", at positions 26 to 889 of the family's 1533-position model. The record is from RNAcentral.
AGGAUGAACGCUGGCGGCGUGCUUAAUACAUGCAAGUCGAACGGGGAAUGUAGCAAUACAUUUCUAGUGGCGAACGGGUGAGUAACGCGUUGAUGACCUGCCCCGAAGUGUGGGAUACCAAUUCGAAAGGAUUGCUAAUACCGCAUGUGACCGCUGGGAUUAGAUGCCUGGUGAUUAAAGGCGAAAGUCGCUUCGGGAGGGAUCUGCGUCCCAUCAGCUAGUUGGUAGGGUAAUGGCCUACCAAGGCUAUGACGGGUAGGGGACCUGAGAGGGUGGCCCCCCACAAUGGAACUGAAACACGGUCCAUACACCUACGGGUGGCAGCAGUAGGGAAUAUUGGUUAAUGGGCGAAAGCCUGACCCAGCAACGCCGCGUGUGCGAUGAAGGCCUUCGGGUUGUAAAGCACUUUUGGAGGGGAUGAGGAAGGACAGUACCCUUCGAAUAAGCCUCGGCUAACUACGUGCCAGCAGCCGCGGUAACACGUAGGAGGCGAGCGUUAUCCGGAUUUACUGGGCGUAAAGCGUGUGCAGGCGGUUUGGUAAGUUGGAUGUGAAAGCUCCUGGCUUAACUGGGAGAGGUCGUUCAAUACUACCAGACUAGAGUAUGGGAGAGGGAGGUGGAAUUCCGGGUGUAGUGGUGAAAUGCGUAGAUAUCCCGAGGAACACCAGUGGCGAAAGCGGCCUCCUGGCCCAUUUCUGACGCUCAUACACGAAAGCUAGGGUAGCAAACGGGAUUAGAGACCCCGGUAGUCCUAGCUGUAAACGAUGUAGACUUGGCGUCGGCGGGUUUAAAUCCGUCGGUGCCGUAGCUAACGCGAUAAGUCUACCGCCUGAGGACUACGGCCGC